Molecule: ribosomal RNA, 518 nt
Filed under: uncultured bacterium
Lineage: Bacteria
Description: partial 16S ribosomal RNA
Rfam family: Bacterial small subunit ribosomal RNA
Source: RNAcentral
GACGAACGCUGGCGGCGUGCCUAAUACAUGCAAGUCGAGCGAGUCUGCCUUGAAGAUCGGAGUGCUUGCACCCUGUGAAACAAGAUACAGGCUAGCGGCGGACGGGUGAGUAACACGUGGGUAACCUGCCCAAGAGAUCGGGAUAACACCUGGAAACAGAUGCUAAUACCGGAUAACAACAGAUGAUGCCUAUCAACUGUUUAAAAGAUGGUUCUGCUAUCACUCUUGGAUGGACCUGCGGUGCAUUAGCUAGUUGGUAGGGUAACGGCCUACCAAGGCGAUGAUGCAUAGCCGAGUUGAGAGACUGAGCGGCCACAUUGGGACUGAGACACGGCCCAAACUCCUACGGGAGGCAGCAGUAGGGAAUCUUCCACAAUGGACGCAAGUCUGAUGGAGCAACGCCGCGUGAGUGAAGAAGGGUUUCGGCUCGUAAAGCUCUGUUGUUGGUGAAGAAGGACAGGGGUAGUAACUGACCUUUGUUUGACGGUAAUCAAUUAGAAAGUCACGGCUAACUACGU